AAAAUCCGUUGGUUUCACGGGACCGUGAGGG
Molecule: transfer RNA, 31 nt
Filed under: Lepidomicrosorium superficiale
Lineage: Eukaryota; Viridiplantae; Streptophyta; Polypodiopsida; Polypodiales; Polypodiaceae
Description: partial tRNA-Leu
Source: RNAcentral